Molecule: ribosomal RNA, 1237 nt
Filed under: uncultured Chaetoceros
Lineage: Eukaryota; Bacillariophyta; Thalassiosirophyceae; Chaetocerotales; Chaetocerotaceae
Description: partial Bacterial large subunit ribosomal RNA
Rfam family: Bacterial large subunit ribosomal RNA
Source: RNAcentral
GCGAAAGCGAGUCUUAAUAGGGCGUCUAGUCGCUGGGAAUAGACCCGAAACCGGGCGAUCUAUCCAUGGGCAGGUUGAAGGUUGGGUAACACUAACUGGAGGACCGAACCGACUAAUGUUGAAAAAUUAGCGGAUGACUUGUGGCUGGGGGUGAAAGGCCAAUCAAACCGGGAGAUAGCUGGUUCUCCCCGAAAACUAUUUAGGUAGUGCCUCGGACGAACACCAUUGGGGGUAGAGCACUGUUAAGGCUAGGGGGUCAUCCCGACUUACCAACCCUUUGCAAACUCCGAAUACCAAUGAGUGCUAUCCGGGAGACACACGGCGGGUGCUAACGUCCGUCGUGAAGAGGGAAACAACCCAGACCGCCAGCUAAGGUCCCAAAAUAUUGCUAAGUGGGAAACGAUGUGGGAAGGCUUAGACAGCUAGGAGGUUGGCUUAGAAGCAGCCACCCUUUAAAGAAAGCGUAAUAGCUCACUAGUCGAGUCGGCCUGCGCGGAAGAUGUAACGGGGCUAAGCAAUAUACCGAAGCUGCGGAUGUGUGUAUUUAUACACACAUGGUAGGGGAGCGUUGUGUAAGUGGCUGAAGGCAAGCUGUGAGGCUUGCUGGACAUAUCACAAGUGCGAAUGCUGACAUGAGUAACGAUAAUGGGGGUGAAAAACCCCCACGCCGGAAGACCAAGGUUUCCUGUCCCAUGCUAAUCAGGGCAGGGUAAGUCGGCCCCUAAGGCGAGGCAGAGAUGCGUAGUCGAUGGGAAACGGAUUAAUAUUUCCGUACUUGGUAUAUCAGUGAAGGGGGGACGGAGAAGGCUAGGCAAGCACAGUGUUGGUUAUCUGUGUGAAAGUGCGUAGGGCGACAAUUUAGGUAAAUCCGGAUUGUCAUUCACCUGAGACACGAGACGAGACUCCACGGAGUUGAAGUUGUUGAUGCCAUGCUUCCAGGAAAAGCCUCUAAACUUAUGAUAUAUCGAACCGUACCCCAAACCGACACAGGUGGUCAGGUAGAGAAUACUAAGGCGCUUGAGAGAACCUGGGUGAAGGAACUCGGCAAAAUCGUACCGUAACUUCGGGAGAAGGUACGCUGCUGUUUGUGAUGGGACUUGCUCCCUAAGCGAAUGGCAGCCGCAGUGAAAUGGUGGCUGGAACUGUUUAUUAAAAACACAGCACUGUGCUAAAUCGAAAGAUGACGUAUACGGUGUGACGCCUGCCCGGUGCCGGAAGGUUAAUUGAUGGGGUUAGC